GACAAUUUGGUUAAAUGUAUAUUUAUAAGUGUAAAUUUAUUAUAUAUAGGUUCUAUACCAAAUAUUGCUACUCCCUACGUUUCACUUUAAAUUUUGCAUUGAAAACAUAAAACGACACUCAAAAUGAAACAAAUUUUUAACUCUAAAAUGACAAAUAAUACGAAACAAAGGGAGUAUAUUAUUUCAUAGAAGUUAUCAUACAUUAUGUUUUUUUAAUUAAAAACUGAUGGGGUUUUGACUAUAUACAUAUAUAUGAUUCGUGUUUUUAUAAGAUUCAUGUUCUUUAUGAUUCAUAAAUGAUACAUGACAGUUUUUUGGGACUGGGAAAUAUAAACUAUUCAUAAUUAUGUUCUUCUACAAAACUUCCUUACGUGACACUUAUUUUGAUUAAUAUUUUUUGAUUUUUAUGGGAUACAUGAUAUUUAUUUUUGGUAAUUUAUUUUGGGAAUCAUCAA
Molecule: long non-coding RNA, 455 nt
Filed under: Brassica napus (rape)
Lineage: Eukaryota; Viridiplantae; Streptophyta; Magnoliopsida; Brassicales; Brassicaceae
Description: long non-coding RNA (BNAP_LNC003524)
Source: RNAcentral